RNAcentral lists this ribosomal RNA (442 nucleotides) under uncultured bacterium. Its description in RNAcentral is "partial 16S ribosomal RNA". It matches the Rfam family "Bacterial small subunit ribosomal RNA", at positions 338 to 795 of the family's 1533-position model. The record is from RNAcentral.
CCUACGGGGGGCAGCAGUGGGGAAUAUUGGGCAAUGGGCGCAAGCCUGACCCAGCAACGCCGCGUGAAGGAAGAAGGCUUUCGGGUUGUAAACUUCUUUUGUCAGGGAAGAGUAGAAGACGGUACCUGACGAAUAAGCCACGGCUAACUACGUGCCAGCAGCCGCGGUAAUACGUAGGUGGCAAGCGUUAUCCGGAUUUACUGGGUGUAAAGGGCGUGUAGGCGGGAGUGCAAGUCAGAUGUGAAAACUAUGGGCUCAACCCAUAGCCUGCAUUUGAAACUGUACUUCUUGAGUGCUGGAGAGGCAAUCGGAAUUCCGUGUGUAGCGGUGAAAUGCGUAGAUAUACGGAGGAACACCAGUGGCGAAGGCGGAUUGCUGGACAGUAACUGACGCUGAGGCGCGAAAGCGUGGGGAGCAAACAGGAUUAGAUACCCCAGUAGUC